Long non-coding RNA from Oreochromis niloticus (Nile tilapia), 1414 nucleotides. RefSeq lists it as uncharacterized. NCBI's taxonomy places the organism in Eukaryota, Metazoa, Chordata, Actinopteri, Cichliformes, Cichlidae. The record is from RefSeq and is a predicted model, not a curated record. The transcript has 2 exons.
CCACUCUGGAAUUAAGGCGUACAGCUGUGACAUUUGUGGAAAAACUUUCAGCCGGAUAGGGAGCCGAAAUACACACCUACGCAUUCACACCGGACAUGAUGUGUACAGCUGUGAUCAGUGUGGUAAACAGUUUACCACAAACACAGAGUUACGACGUCACAUGUUUCCCAAACUGAAGAACGACCUUAUAAAUGUGACCUGUGUGAGAAGACUUUUAAAUCUCAACGUUACCUGAGAGCACACCAACAGAUCCACACCAGAAAGACUCUACAAGUGCAGUUACUGUGAGAAGCAGAGCGACACAGAUGGAUCAAGUUCUCAACCCUGUCAUCGCUGUGGGAAAGACUUUUGUUGUGACCUUUCUGGAAAAACUUUAAGUCAUUGAAGGACUCUGAAAAUACAUCAACGUAGACACACUGGAGACAAAAUGAACUACUGUAAAGAAUGCGGGAGAGGCUUCACCACUUCAAAGGACUUCAAACAAUAUGAACUCCUUCACAGUGGCGUUAAAAAGCAUGUCUGCGAUCAGUGUGGGUCAUCCUUCAUCAGUGCACGUCAGCUUGAAAGGCAUAAACGAGUCCACACAUGAGAGAAACCAUACAAGUGCAGACACUGUGACAAAACCUUUUCACAAUCGUGAUCAUACUAAGCAUGAACGCAGACACAUGAAAGAGAACUUCAUCUGUGAAAGAGUUUGAGUAAUCUCAGUUCAUACUCCACUCAGAAACGAUUCCAUGUUACAAAUAAACUGUUACGUCUUGAUUCCUGCUUUUACGUUAAUCUUGUAAACGGUACAUUUGGAUAACAACUGAAACCGGCCCAGUGAAUGAACAAUGGGCUGUGAGGUCAAUUUCUUCAUCAUUAAUAUGCAAAUUCUUAUGAGCAUUGAUCAACAACCACUGGUCAAUGGCCAUGAGUACCAUUCACAGAGUAAAAAUUUGCAUAAUGAUUAUGAAGUUUACUGUUACCAAUGUUCAAAAACAUUUACUAAAUUAUCUUCUCUGUGCAAACAUCAGCGUGAUGCAGGACUGAAAUCAUUGCCAUCUCUGGAUCACAGUGAAUCUGCAGAGACAGAAAGAUCCUCUUCUGGUUUCAGCGUCAGACUUAAACCCUUGAGAUCAGGCUCCACAGAGUUCAGGUGGAGUCUUCUGUAAAGAUCUGAUGAGGCAGCUCUGAAUGAAAAUGUGCCUCUCGUACAUUUUAAGCUUUCUAAACUGUUCUACUGUAGUGUUUGUGUUGAGUGGUUCGCUUUGUUCCAGCAGUUUGAUUAAGAAAUCUGUUUCCUGUUAUAUUUUUAUUGAAUGCAUUGAUCCAUGUGUUCUGCAGGUUUAUUUCAGCUUGUUUGUGUAAUGAAAUCCUGCAACAAUUAAACCAAAAUUUUAUAUGUUAAAUAAAGAAAUGGUUUACUGACAAA